CGCGCCGGCGCGGGGACAGCCCACCGCCGCGGGGAGGGGUGCAGCCACCGCCCCCCGCCCGAUCCGGCGCCCCCAGAGGCGGGCGGCCAUCGCCCGCCAGCCCGCAGCUUGUCGCGCAGGUCUAGUCCGCCGCCAUGCCGGGGCCUGUACCUGCGCUGGAAGUCCCGCUCGAAGGGGGCCAGGUAGGGGUCCCGCUCUAGCAGCUCCGGUAGCUUAGGCGCCUGCGGGCCUUGCGUGCCAGAGGCGGCCAUCUUGCCACCACGGCUCGGUAGCGCCGGGCACGGCCGCUAUAUACCUCCAGGCGGGGGAGGGGGGGGUCUCGGCGCGGGGCGGGCGGGCGGGCAAGGAGCCCACUGCCUCUCACCGCCCGGCGCCGCCCACCGGCGGGGGCAGCCCCGGGACCGAGAGCCGCCCGCCUCCGCCGCCACUCCCCGCCCGCCGUGUGCCUCGCGGCCUUGGGCGGGGUGGGAGGCCGGGGCUGCGGGUGGUCCUGGCCGCGACGCUCGGGCUCCCUGGAAGGGGCACGGGGUGCGAGCGCUGCGAUAAAUUCCUCCGCCGCUCGGCGGGGCGCUGGGCAGCUCGCAGUCGAGCGCAGCGACGCGACUCUGAUGGCAUCCGUGAGCUCUCAUAAAACGCUGCGUGUGUCUGGCAGAAUGCUGCUUCGCGGGGGCCAGAGGAGACCUGAACAAAGUAGAGUGAGUUCAGUGGAUCCUAAAGCAGCUGUAAAUGCUGAAUAGCACAGAUAGAUUAUGAGGGACAGGGUAUCAAUCAGUGUGUUUCAUUUUUGGAUAGGCCUCCAGGUAUCCAGGGUAACUCUUUACCAGCCUGAUCGUGGCUGUUGUCCAGCACUUUUUUUAAGAUACAUACUGACAAUGUGUAUUUACAGGCCUCUUUUUGGAUACAUUUUAGCCACAGGUUAUAAACUUUCCAGCACUAGGGUACUUGGCAUUGCUUCCACAACCAUCUCCCAAGAUUUCUGUCCGUGGUUUGUAACUCAUCUCCCCUGCCUUGGCUUACUGUGGAUUUAGAGUGCCUUCCUAUUCUGCUGUCAGGUGACAGCCUGUAACAAACUACAGCAGUUCAUUUAUAGCUUCUCCAAAAAUUGGCUGCAGUGACAGUUUUCAAAAUUAUUUGUUUCAUCAAAUGGUAUGCAUUUAACUACGCUGUAUUUCUUUCCUUGCAGCAGUUUAUAACUACACACAAAAAAAUCCAAGUACUUUUGUCUUACAGAGAACUAAAAUUGUUCUCUGUCCUAAGAAUCAGUGGCUCAGUAUCUGGAUGGAGAUCAGUAGUAAGCGGUGUCCCUCAGGGAUCAGAACUGGGAUGAGUGCUGUUUAAUAUCUUCAUCCAUUACAUGAACAGUAGGAUCAAGUGCACCCUCAGCAAGAUUGUGGAAGAUGCCAAGCUGUGUGGUACAGUCAGCACAUCUGAGGGAUAGAAUGCCAUCCAGAGGGACCUAGACAGCUGUAAGCAGUGGACCCAGGUCAACCUCAUGAGGUUCGAUGAAGCCAUGUGCAAGGUCUUGCACCUGGGUCAAGGCAACCUCCUCUAUCAGUACAAGAUGGCAGUGAAGGAAUGGAGGACAGCCCUGCAGAAAAGGACUUGGGGGUACUGAUGGAUGGGAAGCUGGACAUGAGCCAGCACUGGGCCCUCACAGCCCAGAAAGCCAACUGUAUCCUGAGGUGCAUCAAAAGAAGUGUGAUCAGCUGGUCAAGGGAGGUGAUCCUGCCCCCUCUACUCUACACUGCUGAGAUCUUACCUGGAAUAGCAUGUCCAGGUGUGGACACGCUCCUCAGUACAAGAGAGAUGUGGACCUGUUGGAGGGUCCAGAGAAGGGCCACAGAAAUGAUCCAAAGAAUGGAACACCUCCCCGUGAGGACAAGCUGAGAGAGCUGGGGCUGUUCAGCCUGGAGAAGAGAUGCCUCUGGGGAGACCUGAGAACAGCCUUUCAGUAUCUAAAGGGGGGCUGUGAGAAGUAAGGGGACAGACCCUUUAGCAGUGCCUUAGCAGGGUCUGUUGUGAUAGGACAAGUGGAAAUUAUUUCAAACUAAAAGAGGGGAGACUUAGACUGGAUAUAAGAAAGAAGGUUUUUUACAAUAAGGCACUGAAACUGGUUGCACAAAGAGGUAGUGGCAGCCCUGUCUCUGGGGACAUGCAGGGUUUAGACUGGACAGAGCUCUGAGCAACCUGAUCUAGUCGGUGUCCCUGUUCACUACAGGGAGUUGGACUAGAUAACCUUUAAAGGCCCCUUAAACGAUUCUAGGAUUCUGAGAAAUUGUUACAUAACUUGCCUCGGUGUCUACCAUUUCUUCAGUCUCAGUCAGGACUGAAAACCUGUUAUAUGCCUCAGAACUGUCUGUGUAGCAGUGAUUCCCUUGUCUGUGUUAAACUGAAGUUUAAUAACUCUAUCUUAUUUCUGACAUCAUGCUAUGCACAUUAUGUUUUCUUUUGCAAACUGUCUCUGACAUUCCCAUAGUUAUCUGGUUGGGCAAGCAAAGAGGGGAGCAAAUCCAGCUGUUAAUCAAGAGCCAGGAACUUGUUUUUCACAAUAGCUAGCGUUUUACCUGUACUGCUGUUUGAGGCUUCCAGCUGUAAUGGAGAGGUUGCCUGCUGCUCACGAGGAAGGAGGGGGGAAAUCCCUGCAGUCUUUGAAUAUACUACCAUAGGAAACAGGAGCUUCAUUUUAAGCACAGUCUGUUUGGUUUUCUUAAUUAUCAGAAAGCUCAACAGGUUCAGAGUGCCAUUAUUAGCUAUUUGGCAUAGACACAAGAGAGAGAUUUAUAAAUUGGCAUUAGCAAUUCAUGUAAACAGUAGGAAUAUUGCUGUGACUUCGAGCUCCCUGGAGACAGAGACCCUUUCUUAACCUUUGUUUGUGAGAUUGUAAGCAGAAAUAACACAGUACCCAGACUCGCAUCCAAGCAUCCUUGAAUGUCAGGAAGUUAAAUUCUUCAAGUAGCCCCAAGUGCUAUAUUUAAUACCUUGUGAAUUGGGAAAUUGAUAACCAUUCUAUUUGUAUCCAUUCAUGUUCAAGUUUACAACUGAGGUGUGAUUUUAUCUGCCUGCUCAAAGACACAAAGGCAUAUAUUACUGUGAUCUAUUCCAGUGUGAUCUGGCUGAGACUCUAAGGCUGAAUUUGGCUCUGAGGACAUUGCCAUUUAGUCUUCUACCUAGAGGCAAAAAAAGGGCACUCGAAACAAUAAAUGUUGUUGCAGUAGAUGAAUGCUUCUUUGUGUAUUUGUCUGACAUCCACCCAAAGAUAGCAGCUGCCAGUAGAGAUAGGAAGAAGGGGUGGAUGGUAAUAACUGCUCUUUUGGGGGACAGUAAUGGAUCUUAAAGGACUGGCAUCUGAGGCAUGUGUCUGGCACCCAGCUACCACCAAGAACAGAGUAUAUCAAACCACUCUAAAUUUGUCUUUCAAAGGAUGUUUAUUAUUAAGUUGUGUAUACUUUAAAAUGUUGCAUAGCAGUGCUAUGCAAUAACUAGUUACAAUUCUUAUAAUAGUUUCUGUACGAAGUUCAAAAAGAAAUCCAAGUUUUGUAUUGAAGAACAUUCAAGAACUGACUACUCACGUAAUGCACUACAGCAAUUUUCAUUUUCUCAUAUAUUGCUCUUACUUGCAAAAGUAGACAGAGAUGCUAAACUGUAGGAACAGGGUUCUUUCUCUGAAGCACUGGUUCAAAUUCUUCCCACCAUCCUGGCUCUCAGAUUGGCCAGAGACCACCUCAUGGUGUUAGCUGGAGCCUGCAGGGAGACAGACAGGACAGUUGUCAAGGGUACUGUGUAACUAGUUUUCCUUCCACUAUAGGCAUAAAAGGGGCAUUGCAAACAUACAGUACAUUUCUUAAAUAUCACUAAUCUACAUAGUCUUUACAGGUAGGUCAGACAUUGGCAGUUGAGAUUAUACAAGUUUUUUAUUCCUGUCUUUGAGCUUUCCAAGGCUCUGCUGAGAUGCAGAAGGAGGAAAAAUGGGCAGUGUUGCACAGUUGCUGAAUCUCAGCAGCAUGUCAGUUCUUUAAUUAAAACAUUAAAAAGUUUUGCAGUUUUUGUAAGGAUUCAACUAUUAAUUAAUUACUUAGGAAAAAUAAAGGAUAUAACAUUGAAAAUUACAGCAAACAUUCCAAGAAUCCAUUAGUCUAUCCCUUAAUUAGUUUAUGGUUUGGGGGGUUUGUUUUUGUUGGCUUUUUCUCUGUCAGUUUGUUUUAGGAAAUUUAUUAUUCAUUGAGAUUGUCUUUUUAGGUCUUACCAUUGCCCUCGUAUGGUAACAGGAUCUUUAAAUAGAAACACAUCUUUAAAGAUCAAAAGUAAUCUGAAAUCUAAACUACUAAAAAGCCACUUUCAGAGUUGUCAAAUUCCACUAAAUGCUUUUGAUAGGAAUGCUAUUUGCACUUAGCAUACAGAACCAAAAUCACACUGUAGCAGCAUGAAAGCACUAGAUAAUGGCUGCUUUUUGCUUUCAUGUUACUGAAGUAUUACUAUGAUCUGGUGUCCCCAUGGAACACCUCCCUUGUAAGGACAGACUGAAAAAGCUGGGACUGUUCAGCCUGGAGAAGAGAAGCCUCUGGGGAGACUUGAUAGCAGCCUUUCAGUGUCUGAAGGGGGGCUGUAAGAAAGAAAAGGACAGACUCUUUAGCAAGGUCUGUGGUGACAGGACAAGGGAAAAUGGUUUAAAACUAAAAGAGUGGAGAUUUAAAUUGGACAUAAGGAAUUUUUUUGCAAUAAGGGUGGUGAGGCUCUGGAACAGGUUACUCAAAGAUGUGGUGGAGUCCCCAUCUUAGGAGACAUUCAAGGACCUAUAAAGGUCCUUUCCAACUUAAAAGAUUUUAUGAUUCAUUACUACUUAGUAAGAAUAUUUUACUUCAUGUUAUUACAUCACUUCAAUAAUACUCCAUAUCUUUUUGUUUGUUUUGCUUUGGUUUAAUCUCUUCUUUGUAACAAACAGAUAAAUAUUUAUAAUUUAAAUAGCAGUUUAAUUACAAUCACAUAUAAGGUUAAUUUUGAGUUUUCUGAGUUAAUGUUAUCCUACUUCAGCUGGAAUUAUGGAUUAAUGUUUCUCAGUUUCCAAUGCCCUUCGUUUUUUGGUGUCUCUUUGAGUUUUUUGUUAAUCUCUCAAAAUUCUCCCUGGAUGUUGGAUUCAGUCUCCUAAUUCCACUGAAGAAACAUUUGAUAUCUGAUUUUAGUUUAACUAACCACUCUGUGCAGAUAUUUCUCCCAUUCUGCAUGAUCAGCUUCUACAGCAGGGCUCUCAUAUAAGUUCUGGUUUCCACUGCUUUCAUAUUUCAACUUCUUUGUUAGCACUUCAUUCUGUUUGUGUAUGCUUAAUCAGAAUAACCUUUUAAAUUGUACAGAUUUCAGCUUGUGCCAGUAUUCAGUCUUUCUGCAUUAUGUUCUCUUCUCAGGCAACAUCCAGGCUUGUCAUUUUCCAAUUGUCCAUUCAUUCCAUCAGGACAGUAGGCCUUCCCCAAUGAUCAAAUUGUAAUUUGAAGUCUGUAAAGGUGAAGUGUAAGCCUUUUUGGCUGCAGCUGAGAGGUAUGAAUAGCCUUUUUCCUUAUGUCAGUCUUCAGUUAGCAAUCCAGUAGAGGCCUUGUUGGAGAUGCUCUUCCAGUAUAUUGAAUCUUUUCCAGUUUCCUCACUAUAUGUUUGUGCUAAGUUCAGCUGCUUUCUUACUACACUAUUUCUUACCACUGCAUAUAUGCUUUGCUGCUGCAUCUUACCUUGUCAUAUCCCUUUUGCCAUGUUUCCCUAAGAAGAAUGUUUGAGUGUAAAUACUGAUAAAAAUAACAGUGUUACAGCUUCUGAGUCAUCUGCUCACUUUGGUAUUUUUGAUUUUGCUGUUUAUUAUCUAUGAUGGCUGACAUCGCUUCUCCCCUCAUAUAUGCAGCUAGCUCAUUCCAUGUUGUUCUGGUAUCUGCAGGCCCUAAAACUGUCUGCACUCCAGGCCAUCCCUAUAGCUAUUUAAAUACAUCUGUGUAUUUAAACAUUCAAGGCUUGUUAAUUUCUACUGUGCUGCCAUGCACAAAACACUAAACAGAGCCUGACAACUUUUUCUGCUUCUAAUAUGUCUCUGCUUUCUUUUGGCUUAUGACCAUCAUAGUGGUAUAAUCAUUCAAAUUCUGGUCUUCCUUCUUAAAUCCAGACAGUGUUAUGCAUCCACUCAUAAUAAUCAGUUUCUAGAUCUUUUGAAAGAAUCUAGAAAGAAUUUUGAAAGAAUUUGAAAGAGCCCAAAGAUUUAGUCCCUGCUUAAUACCAUUUCCUCACCUCAUCUAUUUCUUCCAAAAAAAAUAAAAAUGGAUAGAUUUCCUAGGAGCAGAGUGGGAAUGUCCAGCAGGGGACUGGGUUUGUUUUUGUCCUACCUAAGAAUCACAGAAUUAUAGAAUCAUUAAGAUUGGAAAAGGAAACUAAGAUCAUCUAGUCCAACAGUCAACCCAACACCACCGUGCCUUCUGAACCAUGUCCUCAGAGCCUUGGUUCCCCUGUCAAUGGUCUUGUCCUUCACUAAUCAGCUAUAAGAGAAACAAAGUCUCUGUUCAGCUGAUUCACAGGAAGGGAGCAGACACAAAGAUCUCUGAUCACCUAGGGCUAUGAUCAGAGGCUUUUAAAGCAAUCUUUGGGCCUCCAUCCAGUGUCCACCUAGUGUCAGUUUGCCAGACUGCCACAUUUUCUUUCUCAGAUUUUCAGCAGCUGGCAUCCACCACAAAGACUGCUGCCUAUCUACAAGAGAUUAGUACACUGUAAAUGAGAAAUGCUUCAAAAAGUCUUCCAUGCCUUUGUCCUCCUCUAUUAAAACUUAGUCUCACAGACCACAUUGAGAUCAUCUACUGUUAUUUUUCUGUUAGUCUUUGUCUGGCUCUUUAACCUUUGCUGUUAAAGCAUUGGUUUAUGCAAAUAGAGAGAUUUCUUCAUUGAUAAGAUUGUUAUCCAAAUUAUUAGUAAUCUUUGUUUUUUCCCUCUUUCCCUGUUUCAGCUGCACAUUUAAAAUACUGAAAUGCUCAUACAGUUCACAAAUUCUCUAUUGCUUCUUGGCCUGUGCAAUCCUUCAGCUGUCUCCUCAGUAACUCUUAUGUUGUCUUCUGUUUCAACACAUGCACAAGAAAAACUCACAAAGGAUUCCAUCCUGGGAGCUGAGUCAUUCUCUAAAUCAAGAACUGUCAUUCUCUGUACAUAAAAUAUUCCUCUGCAGAGCUUAAGGUAAGUCUUAUUGCGCUGCUUUCCUUCAGGAAUUUAUAUCUGCAUAGAAGAAAAUUGAGCCUCAUGCCAAUAGAUGAGAUAGACUUUAUGGCUUCUCCAUGAUCACACCACAUAUUGGUAAAAGCAUGGAACUGUGAAAUAUGAGAUGCAAAUGUCAAAAUAUUUCUUUGUUUUUGUAAGGAGUUGCACAAGGAGUCAUUCCUUUUCUGUACAACAAAGUAUGGGUAUUCAUAACUGUAAAAAAAGCCACGCUACCAAGAAUAGAAAAAAUAAAUGCCAUUUGUUGUUUGUUGUUUUGUUUUUCUAAUUUCCUUUCUGUAGAAUGUAGCAUCAAUAUUCUCAAAAAUAAUAAUAAAAAAAACCCUCUAAAAAAACUAUCAUAUUGUCUAUUGUUUUUCUUAAAUCUAUAAAUGUUUUGCAGGUCUUAAGUCAGUUGUCUUGCUCCAGUUUUUGAUCUUUGGAAUAAACUUAUUAUUAGUAGCAUAUUAUUAUAGAUUAACUUAUUUUGGCUUUUAGUAUUUGUCCUGUUGUUCACAUGAUUUCAUUUGUAUGUUGGGAACCAAUUUUUUGUAAACAUCAAGAGUUCUUUCAACACUGACACAAUUGCAAGGAAUUUGAGGUAGGUUCUGUCGUACUUCUAUAAUAAAUUAUUAUAUAACAAGUUGAGUAGCUACAGAAAAAAAGGCCUUUUUAUAAGUUGGAAAAUGGGUACACUGCACAUUUCAGGUUAAUAAAAUUUAUAUGCUGUUUUGAGUGCAAGUUUGCAUAUUAACCAAAAGGGGGUUGAUUAGUUUUUUUCCUUUUAUUCUUUUCAAAAUGUUUUUUUUUUUGUAUAUUAGCAAAUAUCCAUUAGUAAAAAGUAUAAAAUGUUCUCUGAUAACUUUCUAUUAGAAUCAUAGAAUCAUAGAAUGGCCUGGUUGAAAAGGACCACAAUGAUCAUCCAGUUUCAACCCCCAUGCUAUGUGCAGGGUCACCAACCACAACACCAGGCUGCCCAGAGCCACAUCCAGCCUGGCCUUGAAUGCCUCCAGGGCAUGCCUCCACAACCUCCUUGGGCAACCUGUUCCAGUGCGUCACCACCCUCUGUGUGAAAAACUUCCUCCUAAUAUCUAACCUAAACCUCCCUUGUCUCAGUUUAAAACCGUUAUGUUAGAGAAGAUUCAGCAAAGGCUUAAAUUUCUUUUGUCUUACACUGUAAACCUGGAUAGUGAAGAAAAUAAAAUUGUCAAGAAUAUGGUAUCUGCUUGUAAAUAAAAUACUGUCAUUCACAGUUAGACAUAAAUAUGCAGAGGCUAUAGCUGUGAGAGCUAUUUAAAAAUCAGAAGUCAGAAUGCAGUCAUGUUCGGAGGAGUAACACAUAAAAAGUUAUCCCUCAAGAACAUUCCCUUCUAAAGUGUAACCAAAUAAAUAGAAUUAUUUCAUGUAGUGCUGUAUAAUUGAGAUGACUUAGAAUUCCCCCUCUUAUAACACUUUUGAUCUAGCUGUUAGGUGUGACAGGGUAAGGUUAAUUCUCCUUCUCCUAUCACAGGUUAGGAAAGACUUAGUUCUAAGAAUUAAAGGCUCAUUAAAGGAGGAUGGCGAGACUUCUUUUCCAGUGUACACAUUAAUUACCGUAACACUCAGUGAAUUUAUGUUUGCUGACAAAAUGACAUACCUUGUUUACAUAUCAGUGGAAAAAAAAAAAUUGAGUUUCUGGCUGAUUGAAACUGUCACUUUCCUCAAGUAACUACUCUAAUGAAGUAAAACCAAGGAAAACAGAGCAAGAUUUUGUAAAAACAUAUACUUCUUCUAUAAGCAAAACAGCACCUGUUUCUUUUUAGAAAGAAUGUGAAUUGAACACAAGUCUUGAAAAAGUCACUAAACUCGUGAUCUGAUCUACCGUUCUGGACCUUAUAUGACCAUCUACUGAAUUUCUGGCUUUCCACUGAUGACAACAAACACCUUUGUAAGUAAAAUUAACAUAGUGCUCGUACCUUAGAUUUUGAGGUGAGCAAUGCCAGGGACAUCUGCAGCCACAGGACAGGUAAAACACUUCUAUCCUCCUCCAGCAACACAUCAGAAUUCUUGGUAAUUAAGAAAGGCUAGAGAAUACAUAUGUCAGCAGAUCUAUGUGGUUUUGUUUCCACAGGAAUACCUUAUCCUUCAUUUUAUUUUGCCCCUACUAAUUCUUUGCCUCAGCACACAGAAAAAUAACUGCACAACUGCAGUUUCAGAUACAUGUUACAAUCCUGCCUUCUGCUCAGUAUAAAAUAUUUUUACUCACCUCCCAGUGUGCAGUCCAGUGAGAAUAAAAUACAUUGCUAAGAAAUUAUUAAUAUAUGCAACCUUACUUGACUUUCCUUUUAGCUGCUGAAAUAAGAUACUUAAUUUCUUUACAAGUCUGUGUGGAUAGAUGUCUAGAGUUUAUGAACUGUCAAAAGUGUGAUUUAAGGAUAACUAGCAGAGCUGCAAAGCAAACAAGAAGCUGCUCAGCACUGGGUAGUGACAGUGCUUGUUUAAAAUCUGUUUAAGGAUCCACUGUUCCUAUUACGAUGUACAGUGCAUCUGUAGAAUUUUUCUUACAGAACAGGCAUCUCCAGGGCAUUAUUAUCACAAAGUUAUAAAUAAAGUACAGAAAGUUUUCAGUAUAUUUUCAAAACACAUGGUACUAGGAAUAGAUUAAGGAGUUUACUAUUCGUGAUCAAAGACAAUAGCUAAUGCUGCUGUAGUGGUGGUGAACAAAAGCAAAUUUUAAAAUGCUCUAUUAUUUCAUGCUUUAAAAAAAAAAACAAAAACAAACAAAAAAACAACUCAGUAUCAUCUUAGAGGUUAUUUUUUCAAGAACUAAUAAAAAAUACAAUGUAAUUAUUUUAAUACUUAAUUGUCACCCAAUCUGGUAAUGAAGGGAAAUAAAAAGCAUUAAGUCUUUCAGAAACUUUUUCUCCACAUAUUUACUAUCUUUUCUAUAAAUUCAGAAUCUGGUCUGUGCACUAUUUUUGGACUGUAAGCAAUCCACAGAUAAUCUGGUACUAGCAUUCAUGUCUGGAAAUUUAGUAUCUUUUGGCUUGUUUGACUGAACUUGCAUGAUAGUCCUGCUGGAUGUGGGUACUUAACACAUCACUAGUCCUGUUCAAAUAUUAUUCUGCGUGAUUUUUCUCUGACUGUCACUAAAAUUCAUUCUUUCUGUAAGGCUAUGUCGACGGUUUACGGGCUGGUCUGGCCCGGUUCCAUGACUAGUGGGGCGGAGGGAUUUUUUUGCAACAUCCGUGCCUCCGGAAAAGAGAAACAGGGGACCCCCCCCCAAAAAAAAAGAAUAAUUAAAAAAAAAAAAAAAACAGCAGCAACGAUCUGAGGAGAAACAAACUAAUUUACUAAAUACAGUAUUGGAAUGCACGAUAACACACUAUAAUACAAUAUAAUUCAAUGUAAUUGUUAAUAAAAUCAAACAUAAUUGAGAGAAGGAUUGUCCAAGAGCUAAAGGCCUUACACUAAUACUGAAGCCUUGUGUGCAGUCUGGAGCAGCAGCGAGACAAUCCGCAAGCGAGCAUGAGACGAGAAGAAAGGGAAGAGGACUCACUCAGGUCAGGUGACCUACAGGCCUUAUAUCUGUUCCCCUGAGCAGGAAUGGUAACUACUCGAACAGUCUUCUGGGGAACGUAGUUCUUCUCUUCUGGACAAGUACCCAGAACUAGAGCAUUUGCUCUCUAACUCCCAGUACACUGCAUGAUGUUAUGAUGUGGAAUACUGAUAACCAAAAAUCAUAAAACCAUGACAGGCUAUGAUCAUGGAAGAAAAAAAAAAUGGAACAGUAGAUGUCUUAGCAUAUUUUUUUUUUUACUGAUUUGACCAAAUAUUCACACAGAAAUAUUUCUAAGCAUUCGCUAACUGGCAGGCUAACAGUGCCUUUAUAUCCACUAAUACCAUCUCAUGGGACAAGAAUCGUUGCCGGACCUCACCUCCUCCCAGACUCUUCAAUGCUCAUUCUUUUUGAGUGACAGGCCUCUGCCCAUGUGUUACCCACAGCAGAACUCCCAAGAAAAUGCUUCUUUAAACCUGGUGGUGAGUCUACAGCAUCUUGUAUUCUGUAUUCCUGCAUCUAAAACUCCUUCUCAGAAGCACAUCCCUUAAAUUGCUAAAUGGCAGUACAUUUGAUUCUUUCUGGUAUGAAUGCCCUACAGCUACCACUUUUUGUCUGAGCUCUGAAGAGGCAUUUCUGUCUCUAUUAGCAUGGCAAGCCAAACUACAAUUUGUCUCUGCAUGAUGCUUCUCUAUGGUACUACACCACUGCACAACGACUCACAAUCUCUCAAAGAACCAUUUUAAAGAAAACUGCAAAACAUUUGUUCACCUGCAUCUCUCCGUAAAGCUUACCCCUGUGAUAAGCAUCAGAAACGUGCCUGCCUCAGGUGUGCCAAGCAAUAGUGCAGUAUCACAGAUCCAGCACUCAGCGGCCAUCUUUGUGUUUUUCACUUCCCUUUGGAGAUGCUGGUCAGUGAUUUCCUUCCCCUCCCAUUCCUUCCCACACUGGGUUUGCCCUGAGUUUUGACUGUAAAUCUUCAAAAUGGAAAAGCAAGGGUAUAACCUGGAGAUAGGCAAAGUGGGGCAUCCCUAAAUUAACAAUUCUAUUUCCCAUUCCAGAACUCUUAGUAUGUUCUUGGAAAUAUCUCUAAUCACAGUCUGGUUCUCUUCUUCCUUCGUUCAUUGAUUAUUUCAAGCAAAUUCAAGAUGAAAAUAUCAGGCAGUUAAACUGAGAUGUAUAUAAUAUCUAUGAAGAAGAUAUCCCCCCAAGUUCUAAUAAAGUCAGAGACACUUUUCCUGCUGGUUAGGUUCCACUCAGUGUAAGCAAGAAUCAGAAUAUGACCCUGUACUACAGUUGUUAGAGAAACCAAGAGCUGUUUAUCUUAACUACUACAUUAACUAAGCAUGAUUAUUUUUAAUUGAAUGAUUGUUGAAAGCAUUACAGGUGGCAUAAAGGAAUUUUUGUAAGCAGGAACAAAGGAAAAGGACCUGAUCCUUUAGCCACCCCAGGGAGACAGCUGAUGGUGUAUUUGCAGUUUGAGGCCUUAGAAGAGUUCUCAGUGAUGUCCUUAGAGCUUAGCUAACAGAUAAGAGUUUCCUAUAGUUCAUUUCCUAAGCUACUUCCUGCUGGUCUACAGUAUUACAUCCAUCCGUCUCAUCCUCCGGGCUUCUUUGUGUUGUUUUUUCACCUGCCAUACCUAAAGGCACACUACCGACCUCAUUUAAUCCUGAAGAGCAAGGAUGCUAAUUGAGUUGAAAAUGGUAAUGAUGCAUCUAAUUUUCUCAUGUCUGUGUGCUCCCCCUCCUUUCAGAACACCUGACAACACCUGCAUCCCAGAACAAGGGCUUCAACAUGUAUUUUCCUGUGUUGCGCCCAGCUACUCCCUUGACCUAUUAUCUGUGGCAAGUUACAGUGAAUCAAACAUGAUUCCCUCCACAUUUCUCUUCAUUCUGUUUCUGAAUAAGAGCUGAUGUAUGCUCAGGACAUUUUUGUAUUUGCUGCCACAGUUAAAGCAUAAUUAGCUACAUGAAAAAGAAGGGGGAUUAACCACCUCCACUUAGCUGAGACAUUGUCACCUUUAUACUUAAGGCUGCUAUUUGGUUUUUCAGGUAUUUCAAUUGCCAGUCAAGGAGCAGUUUAAGUCUGUAAUAUAAUAAUACUUGCAAUUACUAGUAAAUAACAUUUUACAGCGUUAACUAGCCUGUCCUUACAACAUCCUUUCCAGGCAGGCAAAUAAAUGUUAUUAUCCUCAUUUUACAAACACAUUGAUUAAGUGACUUGCCUAAAGGCCACACAUCAAUUUCAAUGUCAGCGCCAAGAUUAGCACAAAGGAACUUCUGCAUUGCAGUCCCAGGAAAAGGGAAAAAAAAAUAUCUGUAAUAUUAAGUGCAUCCUCCCCUAAAACAAGCAAUCACUUUUCAGACGCUCAGUCUAAAUAGUGUUUACCUGCUUUGCAUCCCCUUAAGUCCUGUGCUCCGCCCACCUGUUAAGUGCUGCUUGUUAAUGACUCAAAAUGGUUCCCAGCCUGCCGCUAGUAGGGGAAGCUUUUCCUUCACUUGCUAGUUUCAUCCCAGUCGCUGGCAGGUGCUGUCUCAAGAACCUGCGAAGCUUCCAGGCUUACAGCUGAACCUGUGCUUAGACAAGUGAGGAAGGCUUGUGCUGCUCCUUGAAGGGCAGCCUCAGUAUGAUCACGGAUUUGAAGCAGCAGCAGUUGCAGCAGGAGCACGAUUAGGAAGAAAUUAGAAUGAUCUUCCACCAUUUAAUAGAUCGUUGGCCUCUCCAACCGAGCACAUUUUCAAUUUCUAGGCUGUGUACAGCCAGCACAGUUGUCUUUCCUAUUGCUGCUGUAGCUACUGUUUGGAAAUUGUGGUAGCUGGAAGGCAGUAUUGGAAAUUGAGCCUUCAGCUCUAAAACACAUUAACAUCUCUAGUCCUCAAUCUCUUGAGCUACUAAGUAAAUUGCCCUAUUUCAAAGCACCUGCUUUUAUAUUUGGAAGGAAUUUUGGUUUUGAUCGUUUGUUUCAGACUGAGGCAUUAUGUCUCUGUUCCUUUCCUGACUGAUGAGCAAUGCAGACCUUACUGCAUACGUGUAUUUUAUGACGUGUGGAAGUAUAGCAAGUAACACUGUAGUACACAAAAAUCUAUUAAACACUGUAGAAUUUCCAACGUUAAAACCCUGCUAUGUUUGCAGGCAGUUAUUGCUUAGGGAAGGGAAAAAAAAAAAACAAAACAAAAAAACCAGCAGCAAUUGCUUGCUCCCCACCCCCCACCAUAACAUAUGUUUCCUACCUGUAAAGACAAAACAGAGAAAGUCACUCCAGCACUUUCAGCAGCUAAUUAAGGCCAUUCAUGUGUUAAGGGUGGCAAUGUUUUCUCCUGACUUAGGCACUGUUUACAAGAUCUUCAUGACUCAACUUCUAAAUGUGACAGAAAACCAAAAUAAUUGUGAAUCUUUUGAACUUCGGUAGCAUUGUUUGUCAGUGGUUUCACAGAUCUGUCAUUAAAGCCUACGGCAUCAUUUGCAAAUCCCUUAAUUUGACCUAGUCAUUGAAACUGAUACUGUGCCAAUGUCUGAAAGCAGAUACAUUGAAAAAUUGUCCAGCAUUUAUGAUAGAUACUGGUAUUUCAGACCAGAGUCCCAGGCAAUUAAUUAUAUUUUUAAUAAGCAUACAUAACAAAGUUAAAUUUAGAAGUAGACUUUGAAAUGGUUGCCAAGUUUUUAACUGAAGGUCAUUUGUACUUUUUUAUUUUUAUCCCAGGUGGAGAGAGUAUGCAUGUCUAGAUACUCAAACGAAAUGUGUAGACUUAAGUACAAAAUACCUCAAAUAUUAGCCACAUUAAUUACACGUUUUUUUCUUUCCCUUUGAGAGAUCAUUUCUUGCAUUAAAAGAACAAUGCUCAAUUGAUUGCUUGCAAACCAUCUAUAGAUUGCAGUAUCAGACACAUUCAUCAGGUUUACGCCUGUCAAAUUUUUAUGUUUGUUUUCAAAUUUUUAACAGCAAAAAAUAAAACAUAUUUAUAAAUAAAUGCUUAACUGUGUUUGUGUUUUUGGCAGUGUAUUGGCUUGGCUUCUACGCAUCUCUGUCAUCCUUACUCUUCCAUAUCAAACUGUGUCACUUAAAGAGACACAUUAAACCGUAAUAGAGGGGUACUCUUGCUGGUGAAAGAGCAAAUCGUGGCUUCAUGGCCAUAGAUGUGAUUGAGUUCUGAAGCCUGAUAAAUAUUUUAUCAUGACACAAUUUCAGAUGCUCAAGGGCUUCACAAUUUUAAUUGUGUUUUAAUUAUAGCACCUCCGUUCAAUUAUGUUCUCUGCCUACUUCAGAUAUAAGUACUUCAGUGUUUUAAAUGGUAUUUUGGCAAAACUCACCUGCAAGGCUGCUGCAAUAUUCGGGGUGUGUCCUGUAACCUUCAGCAGUAGUUUUGUAUGUAGUUUUACACACAAAUAUAUAAUCAAGAAUAAAAGAUGAGGAAGUACUACGAAAAGCAUUAAAAUAACAGAAGAUCAUGUGUUAGCAUGAAAAUGGCAUGUUUUUCUUCUAUUUAGCUUUGCAUUCUGCAGUACAAGUAGUACUAGUGUUUUGUGAGGCAUGUUAUGCUGCACAGCAUGAACUUCAUUUGUGAUUCCUUAAGUACUACCAUGAACACGACUAUUGAAGAAAAUAAGUUUUCUUAUAGUUACUUUUGUUCUGUAAUUUGUAUUACUGCACUUCUCUUAAACUCUAUAGCACCUCAUUGCUAAAAUUAAUUAAUUAAUUAAGAAUUAAUUUUGAGUAGGCACUUGGAUUCCAGUCUGCUAAGGGCUUAGAUCCAUGCUUAUCUUCUCAAACUCUUAACACUCUCACUGCUUUUUUUUUUUUUUUUUUUUUUUUUUUGCAUUUAUGUCUAAGAGCUAGCUUAAAACCGUACUACAUCAAUAAGACUUAAACAUUUUAUAAUGUUUUUCGCUCAAUUUUGGUACUCAGAUGUUCACUGACAAUUCAUCUCUUUCAUUCACUUCCAAAAUCUACUCCUGAUUUUAAUCAGUAUAUAACGUCAGUGUGUAAUGGAAUGUUCAGGUGUGCUUUCAAAACAAGUUAAAAUUACCUAGUGAAAGCCUUAUUUACAUUUUCAGAAGCUCUUACAAAUAAAAUUAUUUGUGUUUGUUCAGAAGUGCAAGAACUAUGGGUGAAACUGUCUUUGUUUCUGGUGCAAAAAGUCAGGCUAGAUGAUCAAAACACUCCCUUGUGGCCUUAAAAAUCUCUGAUGUGUUUUAAAGCUUACAAUUGCCACAUCAGAUCAGUGAAAUGUUAUCUUUGUUUCCAAAGAACAAGCCUCUGUGAUCAUUACUGCUCUGUUGGCUGAUCAUUUUAAAUUAACAUAGCACAAAACAAUUCAAAAAAAUCAAUUCAUAUUCUUAUCUCCAGAGUUACAGUUUUAAAUGUGGGAAAAAAAAUGGAGUCAGAAAAUGGGAUUUGCAUGAAUAAAAUGCCUUAUACCUCCCAACCACCUCCUCUAUUAUCUCAUGGUGCUUUUCAAAUAAAUGAUUCCAUGUAACUCAGAACUUCUAAAGGGAUUUGAAGGUUAUUGCAUUCCAUUCACUUCCAAGUAGAUUGGAUACUAAAAAUAAAAAGUAAUGACAGAGCUUACCUUUCCUGACUCUGGAACUGAAAUGGUAAAUAUUUAAUAAGGGAAACUCACUUUCCCAAAGUUUUGUUCAUCUCUGUCUUUCUCGCUAAUAAAAAAGCAAAAUGAGUUUCUAAGCAUAUAGCUAUUCUGAUACUAUACUCAUGGAUGAUCAUCUUUCUAUUGGACAAAUGCAAAAUCCCUGUCCUGCAUAAACGUGAGGAUUUUUUACUGAUGAGAAUAGCUCCAAUAAAGACAAUAAAGACAACUGAAAAUCCCAUGGGCAUAUAAGAUACAAUACCAUAACUAACUUGACCUGUUUUUAUCUACCUUACUAAAUGUCUUGGUAUCACUGAAACAUCUGCAAACGUCUUAUAUAGGUAAUACCAUAUAUUUUAAAAUGUAUGAUAUAUACAUCCGUGAUUAUUUCUAAGUAUGCUUCAAGUACACUUGAAAGUAGUGCACACAGUGGAGCAUUUCUGCUUUAGUCCAGUUUUCAAAUAUAGAAAAAUACAAAGGCAUCUAAGUUCUUCCUUUUCAAGAUCUAAAUAACUGAAUAUAAUUUGUUUCUAAUUUUGAUUGUUAUAAGACAUUUACCUAGAAGAAAACUAUUAUAACAAAUCAUAAUGUUUUGUGUGUUGCUCAAUGAACAAAAGAAUCUUUCUACUAGGGGCCAUCAUCCCAAUGAGACUCUAUAGCUCCUUUCGAAAAUCUCUCCAAUUUGCAUAGCAUUAUUAGCAUAAUGUAUUUGGCUCACAUAAAGAGAUAAAUAUGGGUGUGCCAGGAAGACUUCAUCAAAUAUGAAGUGAGUAUGAACAAAAACACCAAGCUGGAGAUCUCAGCUCCCUCUCAACUCAUCUUCCCAUGCAGGCUCUCACUCAGAUCAUUGAUCUCUCUCUCAGUGCUUUCGAUGACCCCUGAUCUUUCUUUUUUUCUUUUCUUAGCCUUAAAAGUGAAAACAUUGUUUUGAAGAAAAUAGCUGGAAUAGGAAAAGUAAGUAAAAGUCUCAACAAAACUCUAUUGAUCCUAACAGUUUUCUGCUAAAAGCAAAUGCCUAUACCAUUUACUCUGGAAAAUUGAAUGAGUUCUAAAAAUGGCUUACAUGUAGCAGAGAUAUUCUUUACGACUUUCCCACUUCAUUUAAAGGUAAUAUGAGCUGGGUCACAAGUGAUAACAUUAUAAUAUCCUCUGGGAAUCAGAUUACCUAGGAACUUCUUACCUGGCCUUUCCUUGGCAAUGCAACCGAGACAAAGCCUUGGCACAGAAAUGGUUCUCACAUAAAUCUGCCUUGUGUGCCACAAGCCAGCCACAUGCCCCAUACAUGCUGUUCACAUACCACCCAUAUAUAUUAUAAUAAGAAAAAUUGAGGUUCUAGGUAGCACUCAAAAGUGCCAGAGUUUACAAGCACACAAAACCACCCCACAGAUAGCAUAUCCACUGCUAUUGGAGACAAACUGACUUUACAUUUCCUUUUAUUAUGUAAAACUUCAACAGGCUGUUCAAAAAUCCAAACUGUGGAUUUACGACACUUGAGGAAAAGCUUUGUGAAACACAAGGACAGAUUAUUAGUUGUCUCCUACUUAAUAACCACUCAGUUUUUGUAAACUGCUGAAGUUUUACUUAGUUUGUAACAUCUAUCUUAGCUAACAGAUUGCUGGCUACUUUUUCGCUCUUGAGAAACUAAAUUUUGACACAAGAUGGUGAAUCACUACGUAUUGAUGUUGCUGUUACAGAUUACUACAUAUCUACUUUUUUUUUUUUUAAGAAAAGAAAAGCAAUGUUUGUUUUCAGUUUGAAAAGGGAAAAAGAUUUUUUUUUUCUCUUUUCAAAAUAUUCCCAUUACAUCUGUUUCUGUACACUCAUUUUCUUGCUUUACAAUUUUUACCAUUAAUUCUAGAUUACGUUCAGGCUUACAAUGUGAAAUAGUGACUUUACAGCAGAAACACAUUGACUUCUACCACUUCUUUUUGUGGCUACAGGUUCAUUUUACCCUCCAAAAUAUCCAACCUACAUUAUAAUUGUUAGAUCUGUAUUCCUUGGCUAGGAAUCCAACAUUUUAUUUCUUUAAUCUCUCCCAAGACAAAGUAGUGAUGUUACCAAAUUCUUCCAAACCUUGCGAACUACUCACAACAAUAUCAUUAUUGUUAUUACUUUUAACUCUUCCUUACAAAAAUGGGUGAUUUGGGAGUCCAAAAGUGUUAGAGGUACUGAUACCAGUUCCUUCUUUCAGCCUAAUAGUCAGUCCUUCAGAUGAAGACAAGAUUGGUUCUUGUAUUUCCUGAUGGAAAAUUUUCGGUAGAGCUAAUUAAAUAGUCCCUGUAGCUCCAGGUUAGAGCAUGUCACAAAAUAUGUUCUGUUGUGUUGAUUCUUUUUUUUUUUUAUUAUUAUUAUUACCAUUUAGAUGUUUGAAAUUGUAAGUGUAAGAUAAAUGCAACUUUUUUUUUUUAAACUUCUGAUUCAGCAGGUAUUUUUAUCAAGUUAUCUCUACAUCUCCAAGCAAGUAAUACUGUGCCUCAUUAUGUCUAUGUGCAAAACGAGGAAAAAAAAAAAAAAAAAAAACCAAAAAACACUAGAAUGACUUUUAGGAGACCAAGGAGAAAAUUCAAUCCCUCUUUCCCCCAGUGUUGCUUGAUUUGCCCCAUCUCCUGGACCAACUUUCAAAUAGGUUUGGUUAUUGCGUGCCUGCUGAUGUGUAUUUGUUUGUAUUGUCUUCUCAGGAAUUUAAUUUCACAUGCUACCAACACAAUCGUGUCACUGCAAUUUAGCAUGCAUUUUGAUGAUGUGUUCUAUAUCUCAUUAAAGUCUCGUCUCUUUAGCCAAUACCAUAUGCUACUCAUCUGUAGAAAAGCUCUUAAACAUAAUGAAAAAGGUAUAAUCACAAAUGAGAAGGCAAAUGCUGACAAACAACCCACAGGUAUUCAAGUUCCAUGACACUACUGAAAGAAAAUAUAGUGCAAAAAGAAAGCCUUUUAAAUUUUUUAGAAUCGUUAUCUGACAGGAAAAAAAUGUUGAGCUUGGAGGUACUCUUCAGUUACUCUAUGCAACUCCAUUGCAGCAUUCUCAGAUCACGAGACAAUGAUGUACCAAUGUAUAUGUAGGAGGAAGAUUUGUUUUUAACAGAGAUAAAAGUUUCAAGUUAUUGAUAUAUAAUACUGAACAAUUUGUUUUCAAAAGUGCUAAUUUAAAGAUUAAAAUAUUUUGAAAAUAUUUUGAGACUAUUAUACCUAGUUUUUCUUUUCCCUCAGAUUUUGAUUUUUUUGUUUUUUUGUUUUGAGCCACAAUGGGAACUUUAUAUAUAUAUAUAUUUUUCUGUAUAUAAUCAUUAUGAGAACAGAAUAAAAGAGUUAGUGGUGAUCAUCUGUAUCAAGAGUAGUAGAAGAGAUAAGCCAAGUUCUGACCUCAGACGUGAAUAUAUGACUGUCAGUAAUCAAAUUAAAGUGCAUCUGGGUUAGGUAAGAAAUCGAGUUUAGAAAGAGGACCAGAGAGACAAUUUCUAUCUACUCAGUAUCACUACUAAUACUUAAAUUCUUAAAGUUAGAGAGAUGCCAGCCCUGAAAGGACCUCUAUACACAUAUGAUGCUAGUUUUACCGUAAAGAUGCACUGAGACCCUAAAAGUUUUGCCUAGGCACAUGAAGGCCUAAUCCCAGCCUUCUGGUCACUGGUCUCAGGGAAGCCAGGACAAUGCAGAAGAGAGCUGUGCCUGGGCAUUGCCCAGAGCUGAGGACACCAUGACAAGGAAGUGCUAGAAACACAGUGACGAUGGCUAGGGAGGCUGCCUAGUUGAGCACGUAAUCCAGAGUGGAGAACACUUGGAUGAGGCUUGUGAGCAAAUGGUUGAUGUUCACCCACAGUUUUGUUCCCCACCUUUGGGAAAUAAAAGCCAAGCACAGGUUUUUGUAAGCAGGACUCCAGGACUUGACUCCAGUCCAUCUCUAAUUAAAUCUAAAUUAAAUUUCACCAAGCAGAAUUACCAGGGCCUAAACAGACCUGGUGAUAAAUCCUUCUUCCUGGUGCUGACUAGUAUUCACUAAAGACAAAGAUCCACUAACGAGGAACGGUUUUGUCUGUUCUUGGUAUGUUAAUUCAAAUCAUAAGAACUAAGCUAGUAGGUUUCUUUGGAUGGACAGUAUAUUGCAUGUGUUCAUUUAGUCACAUAUUUUAAUUGUACAGAUCAUGAAAUAUAUUUGGAAUUAUAUUUGGAAUUAAGAGUUCUUAACAUAAGAUAGCCAUGUAUGCAAAAUCAAAGCUUUUAUACAUUUCUUUGGUAACAGCUUCUUUAAAACACACUCAUAUCAUGGACUUUCUCCUGUCAAAGCUCUGUAAAUGGUUGCUUUACUAAUGGCUACCUUAGUCUCACUAUUUAUUUUUCCUUUUUUUCUGAGAGUAUAAUCUUUUUUAUCUCCACCUUCCAUCUGGAAAUAACCUGCACUGAAUCAAAUGCACCUUUUUUAAAGUGCAAUUUUUAAUUAAGCAGUCUUUUUCAUUUAUUAUUUUUUCUCCUAGGAGGCUCUGAAGCUUACUCUGUUUCUGCCUGAGUAUACAUAGAUUAUUGGCUUAUUUUGUCUUUUUAUUUUUAGACUCGCUUUGAACAAACUUUGAUGGCAGUAUGAAAGUUAAUAAGGAUCAUAUGAUCCUUUCCUUCCAGCUGUAAAUGUAUGAAUAAUGGUCAUUUUGUGAAUCAAGCUCUGCAAUAUUCAGUUAAAUAAAUAAAUAAAUAAAUAAAUAAUACCUUUUCAUUAAUCGUUGACAACAAAUUAGUAUUCUGAAAACAAAAUGACUGCAUUCCUAGGACAAUAUCACUUUCUUCAUGAAAUUUAGUAGGUGACUGAAAAUUUUAUAUGCCGCAGUUUCUGAAUGCCCAGCUUAAAAUUGAAAGGCUCAGAAUAAUAGGAGAAAACAAAAUUGUCUGAAUGUAGUUUAUGUAUCAAUAUAAUUCUGUGCAUUGUGUGGUGCUUAGAUAUACAAUGAAACUUGCAGUCCCAGACACAAUAAAAGGUCAUUUCUGUGGCUUCCUUGUAUCUCAGUCUUUCUUACAGUCUGUGGAGAGCAUCUGCUUGUUCUUAGUCCAGGCUGUUUGAUAGUCUGAAGCUCUGGAGCAAUACUGCUUAGUAGUCAUUAGAAGUUAUUAUGGAUUUAUUCUAUAAUAAUGAUUAAGAAAUAUCUAUUCCAGAUGUCUGCACAAAGCUUUAUGUGCUAAGUAGAUAUACUGUGAAUUAAUAAAGCUAUUUCUCCUGAAUGUUGCUACCAACAGAAAAGGAGCCAAUUAAUUCCACACAACUUUUAUUAUUAUUUAUAAACUGAUUCUUAAAUAGAAAUGCUUACAUCUGCCUCUUGCUCCAGAUGGUGCAAUUUAGCUGCCUAUGUUACUCAUGAAUCGUCUUUGGUUUUAAACAAAUUCUUAACUCAGCAACUGUCUUAUCAAUAAUUCUCCAUUUCUUACAAUUGAAACCUAAACUGCACUGAUGCUUUAAUUCUCAGAACAGAGAAUUUUCUGUCUCGUGGGUCAAAAGUACAAGGAAAAAAAUAUUUUUAAUAUUCCACUGAAGCGGUCACAGUUGUAAAACUGCCUGGUACUGUACCCUCAGGUUACUAGCAAAAAUCCAGGCAGCAGAUUGAAUCCAAAAUUCUCAUGAGGUCUGACCACAUGCAGAUACUGGGACAGACGUUUUAUUAUUAUUAUUAUUAUUAUUAUUUUCCUAGCACAUCAUCUGGUCAUUGAGUUUACAUUUAUGUUCCGGGCCCUAGACGUACUAUUUCCAGCUAAGAACAAAUGCUUCAGCUAUAUAACAAUGCUAAGUCCUUGUCCUAAAAGCUGCCCAGGAGGAAGCAAUGAGCAGGCUUCCAGCUCUCUGCCAGGAUGGUCAGGUGCUGGAUGCUAUUUCUGUAGUUAAGAACCAUUGUGGGUGCAGCUGCUCCGAGAUACUGAGGGGAGGAGGGAACAAAAAAAAACAAAACAAAACAAAGCAUAUCAAAAUCAAUACGUAGGCAUUAUCCUGUAGGAAUGUAAAAAGUGCAGCAAGUAUAGUCUGGCAAGGUCCUAGCAAAGGUUCAACCCAGAUCCACCAUAAGUGUAGCCCUGAUAGAGACCUUCAGAUGUGAUUCAGCUGUCUACUGGAAUAAUAAGCAGAAAUGACUAAAAUACACUUCUGCUAUAUUAUGCCAUGGCUGUAAUUCUUGCCUUGAACCUUUAUUGCCAGUUACAUGUUUUGAAAUGAUUCUAAAAGGUAGGAUUUAUUUAGUUAUAUUAAAUAUAGGAUUAAUUCAAUUUGCCUUUGUAAAUCAUAUUCUUAAAAACCAACUUACACUGAAUUCAAAAUGGACAAUAUUCUUGAGACUUUCAGAAUAAAAUAGUUCUGUAGAGUUUGAGCUAAGCCCUUCAAAUUAGUAACAUGUAACUAGUCAGAUUAAAAACAAAGCAAGCAAUUGCUUUUCAAAUUAUUAUUCUAAAAAUGGACUGGAAUAAAAAUAAAUAAAGAACUUAAAUCUAUGCAUUCACAGAAUUUUAUUCAUGAGUGAUUUUGAAGUCAGUUUGAAAGCUAAAAUUUCAUUUGAAAGGUAAAAUUGAAAAUAGGGUAAUCUUGUAUUUAUGAUUUCUAUGUAUGCUACGUUUUUGGUUUUUUUUUUUUCCUUUUUUUUCCCCCAAAAUUAAGAAAAACACUUGAAAUGGCUUAAACCUGAUUUGACUUACUGCUUCUGUACCUCAGCUGGUAUGUCAUUUUAUUAUGAAACCUUCCUAAGAGAUUUAAAAGCUAUUCAUAGCUUAUUUAUACUUAGAUAGAAGAGAGUAGCCAUAACCUUACUGAUAAUAAUCGAUCUUGUGGUCAUGUAUUGAGUAUCUGAUUUUUUCUUUACCAGAGUGGGCAUUACCUGGGACUUGACCUGCUUUUAACUGAAGCUACUAGCAUAGCUGCUCCAAAGAGAUCUAAACCAAGGAGCAGAGCUGAUGUCUGUGGGAUGUGAAAUUAAAAGCCAUGUGACCAUAGGCAACAAGCUAACAGGAGAUAUGGGAUUAUAUUUUAGACCUAGGUGAUCAAAUUUUAGGUCUGUUUCAAGUAAUCUUCCUAUGACUAAGCACUUAACCCAAACUACUGAAAUGCCUUGGUGCAGAUUUGAUAAUUCUUUGGGCUUUGUGGUCAUGGUAUCUUUGUUAGUCUUAAAGCAGUCUCUCCAAGCUCUUCUAUCUUGUUUGAACAGUGACUGCAAGUUAAGGGGCACUUCCAGGAACUCUUUUUAGUCUGCUCUUGACCAUUUUUUUUCUUUCCACCUCUUACAGGUGACACUAUAGGAAAGCACUUUAAGGAAUGGAGAACCAGUACAGCAGUGGGUAGGACAUUGUUCUCAGCUGCGAAGUGCAGGUGAGGGCACUCCUUGUCAGCUCAGAUGCAAUGGUUAACCACCUAAGAGCUCUUCUGCUCCUCUUCCUUGGGAAGCCACAAUUCACAGCUGAGGCUGAAGACACAUAAUUAAUUCUUUGCUGUAGGGGACAUUUAACCUACUGAUAAAGGCAGACACUUAUGCUUGGGACAGUAAACUCAGAAUACCUGAAGUCAAAUAGUCUUUGCAAAACCAGUUUAAAUUAAGAUUAUACACUAUGUAGGCUUUUUAUACAGCUAACAGAAAAAAUGAAGGCAGAAUUGCUUUCUGAAGGAAUAUAAGCAGUAAUCAUAGCAGUUCCUCUCUGUCUGCAUAUGUUACAAUUAAGAAAAUUGGAUUUCCAGAUUCUUUUCUCAACCCAGCAGCUAGACACAGGCUGAAAGAAUUUUGGCUAUGUCUCAUGUCGGACACAGCUUUUAGAAAAUAAGUGAUUUUUUUUUUUCUUACUGUCAAUCUUCAGGUAUUUAAGAGUUCUUGAAAAGUUAGCAUCCUGUCACUAGGGGGGCUUUCAUUAAUUUGAUGUGCUGUGAUACCCAGCACAGAAUUAAAGGUGGGAAAUUCCAUCCUUCUUGUGAGAUUGAGGAGUCACAUCACCAAAAUGAAAGUACAUUUAGCAAAGCACCACCCGACUUUGCUCAGUAUGUUCACACAGUAUCAUGUCAUCAUCAUUUGGCAGAUAUACAGUUUUAAUAAAUCUGCUAAGCUGCCACUUCAGGCCAUUUUCUCUAAAUCUCAAAGAUCCAUGUGUUUAAAACUGAGAAACUGAAAAUGAUGAGUUGCUUGGUUUUUUUUUUUUCAGUCUACUUUUUUUCAACACAUCUUGACAGUGAACAUUUUACAGUCAAUAAAUGAUAUCUAAAGCUACCACAGGGAACCAGAGUCAUCCCAGAUACAAAUAGCCAAUUAUAAAAUGGAGCUCAGAGUUGAAUAAAUUAUUUUCUGACCCUAUAGGUGAUAAAGUGAUAGCCAACAGCACAAGUUUCAUUAUCCAUAUCUUUAUCACAGCUCAAAUGACUGAUAAUGUCAACGAUUACUUUGCUCAGAUAUUCAAAGACAAAUUUUCGGUAUGAAUCUAGCAAACUACAUUUUGAUCGCUUUGCUCCAGGUUUCUAAGACAGAGACAUAAACACUCUGAAAGACCUUACAGCUGUUGAUUAUGAGCUUGGACAGAAUUAACACUCAUACAAUAAUAAGACUUGUCCAAAUGAGCAUUAGGAUCAGAUACAGAUCAAGCAUGAAGCAAUUGUACCUAUCAGCCUCAUUAGCUAACCCUGACCAUCCUUCAUACUUCACAGAAGAACUUUCUGCAUUUUAAAAUACCAUUAAUGGGAGGGGGGGGGGGGGGAAGGGAAGUGUUUAGGAUUCCAAAUUAAUUGCUUCCACAUAAUAUUUUUCUAAUGUAUUUCUGUGAGCAUUGCAAAUAUCUGUUCAUAUUUCAUUUGGGCUGCUUUCCAAACCAUCAGACCCAUUCCUACAUACUACAAUACUGUAUCAGGUUUAUUUUAUACUAAAGGAAAAGUGCAACAGAGAAAUGCCCAGGGACAGCUAUUUUUUAGAAGUGACAGUUAAGACUUUGUUCAUCUUCUCAGCCAGUGGAUUCCUCCCAUUUAUUCAUGUCCCAGCAAAAUUUCCACUAUUACUCCCAACACACACAACUUCUAAUCAUUCAUAUACGAGAAAGAAGCAUUUCUCUGUAGUCAUUCUGCUUUGGUUACUGAGUCAUUACGAUUAGAGAGUUACUCUACGCAGUUCAAAAGCCUAUCAGGUAGAAGGAAUGGAAAUGAUAUACAAUAAUUGAUCAAAAGAUGGAAAUCGUGUAUUUGAAAUUCCAGUGUUUUGACAUUUAGUUUUUCAUCGCACUGAAAUGAGAAGUAAAUUUAACAAGAUUCUUUGCAAUAAAGAAAUUACACAAAACAUUGGGAAUCAGGGGAGGGGCUCAGAUAUUUUUGUUCAUUUGUUUUAAAAAGUAUUUACUAAGGGCACAGAAUCCUGCUGCAUUGUGGUCAAGAUAUCUCCUAGGUUAGGAUUUACAGCAUAGCAUGUAGAGAGAAAAUUUUAUUUUCCUGUGAUUAUUUUUUAUAUACAUAAUAUAUUUUUAUAUAUGUAUGUAUAUGUUUGUCAGAGCAAGAACUUCAUCAUGUAUGCAUCUUUUAAAUCCCAGACCACUCCUGUAGUUGCCAGGCUACACAUCAUUAGAGCCCAUAACUUUCACUGUACCCAUUUCAGCUCCUGGAAAACUAUAGGCUGUAAUGACUUGAAGGGAAGCAUUUUUCAAUAAAAUUUCAUCUAUCUUUAGCAGAAUAGCUUCUAUAUCUUUCUAGAUAUUGCCAAAGAGUGGGAGAACCUAAAUACAGUAGAAAGUGUUUUUCUGAUGUUACAAGACUAUAAAUAGGACAGUGCAGCAUGAGGAAUGAUACCCUAAAAUGGGAAGCUGAGCUAUUAUUUUAGGUAUUAUACAUGAAAAUGUCCCUUCUGGCUUGCCUCCAUUUGUGAGAAUGAGCCAUUUCAAUGCCCGCUUAGGCCUUUCAGUCUAUGAUCCUGCUUUUCUAUGAUUUAAAAUAGUAAAACUUUGACAUCCUUUUAAACUGCCAGUUCCUAACUGGCAAUGCUUUAUGAAUACUCUCUUCAAGAGACAAUUCUAAGAAGAACAGAACCAAGAAGUCUGCCAGAGAAAUAGAAUUAUGUCUAAAUCUUGGGUACUCUGUGAUGUAAGUUACUGAAAAAUGAAAACAACCUCAUGGUGCACAACAAAUGAGGUGUGAAGGAUUGGUAGAAAGAAUGAAAGGUAGUAUACUACUGUAAUAAUUCCAACAGUUUAAGGACAGCCUGUGAACUGAAAGUGCAUAACAGUUUAAGUAAGCACAAAGUUUGAAUGUCAAGAAAGGUCUUACCUAUGGUCCUUUAGAACAAAAGGCAUACUUCAUCUAUUAAUAAAAGUUUGAUCUUCAGCAUCAGACUUCAAUCAUAAGGCAGGACUGUCAUUGAUAUUGAAAGUCAAACAGUAUAAAUUAGUUUGCAUACAUGUAGAAGACAAAACAAAAGAACAAACACAGAUUUCCCACUUUCAUUCCUACAUAAUAUCUUUGCCAAAGCAUCAAGAUGCUUUUUUUUUCCUGAAAAAAAAAAAUCACUGUUGAUCACUUAUCCUUACUUAUUGCCUGGCGUAUGUAUACAAAAGCAGAACCUAAAGGUUCACUUAAAUAGAAACAACAGAAUGUCUCUCUCUACCGUGCUACUUAUCCCGUGUCUAAAAUGGGUACUGGCACAUACUCUGAGGUCCAUUUAUUUUGAGGUCCCUGGAAGCAUUAGAAAGCAAGAAUGUCCUGCUCAAUGCAGAUAUUGUUUGAGUGGCUCUGUGAGCUGCCAGGUGCUUGGUGAAGGUGAGGCUGGCAACCAAGGGUUCCACUUCUAACUGUAUUCGGGUCAUGACUUGGCUAUACUUCCUCUUAACAAUCAGUCAUGUUGGUCAGUGCCCUCCAGUUGGUGGUAGGCUUUAGAGUGUAUCUAUUACAUAUGCAUGAGGUUUGGAUGAUUGUUAGAGGGCCUUGCAAAACAUGCAGUAAGGUGUUUGUUUGAGAGCAACUCUUGCACAUGGGGCAAGAUAGACACAUCUAUGCAUGAGUUCCACCGUUAUCUUGACACAUGGGACACAAGGAUGACAGAAAACAGGAGUGUGACAGCAGUCUUCAAGGUCAUCAAACAACCUGGUUUUCAAAUGAAGGCUCGAGGAUGUAGCAUUGUCCAAAAAUGAAAAUAUCAGAAGUUCCUGAUAUAAAUAAUUCCAAAUUUAGUUCAGAAGUAGAAAAGGAUAAAAGAGGAGUACAUAACAUCUGAGAAUUAGGACAUAUACUGCCAACCCCACCAAAGUUACACUAAAAAAAUUACUUGCAAACAAGUAACUGCUUGUUACUUGCUGGGCAGUGAGACUGUUCCCAGUCUGCUCCCCUUAUUCCAGACACUGAAAUAAAGCAAAACUAAAACGUCUUCUAAAGCUCUCCAUUACGAAUCAGGAGCUUUCAGAUAGCUUAGAAGCACUUGUUUGCAGCAGCUCAUUUCUCAUAAAAAGCUUGUUGCCACUCUAGGGAGGAGUAAAAUCACUACUGAUGACAUUCAAAUCAUGGUCUGCCUUCUCAGCAAUUAAUUUUAAAUAUGAUUCAUACUCCAUUAUGCUCUGGAAACCAAAGAAAUUAUCCUUUAUUGUGUCUAGCCAUUUUUCAUCACUAUGGACUCAUAAUGACCAAUUUUACUCUUAUCUGUUAUAAUAAGCUUGAAAAUGUGCAAAAAUUAACCCGAAUGUUUACAUUUCCCUUUAAUUCAGCUUCAUAAGGAUUUCCCAGUGUAAAUAUACAUUUACACAAUAGAAUAGAAUUAUUAGCAUGUAACAUAUGUAAACAGCAUUAGCUUUUAAAUUGUUUAAAUAUUCAUGUUUGUAGAUUAGAAACAAGUUGGGUCAAUCUUCAGGGUUGGGUCCAACGCUACUGAACUUUGUCCUACUUACACAGAAAUCCAAAUAAAAGCAUACAUUUUAAUGAAUAUCUAAGCCAGUUUUAGGCUAUUUUAAUAGCUGUGGAGUGAUGUCUGAAAAUGAAUGGGUUUAUACCGUUCUUCCUCUUUUACAACACCAAUUUUUAGUUAAAGAUAAAAAAUAAAAGAAAGGUCACAGAGAAAAGGUCCAGGCUGACGUUUUCAGAAAUCCUGAUGCAAUUGCUUGUUUCAGCUGUGUGACUUUAAUAAUCUGCUGUCUCUGUCACUCAAAAUCUCACCUGUAAAACUGAGGUAUUUUUCUCCAAACAGAGCAGGUAUGCUGCAUGAAGUGGAGACACUCCUUCCUUUACCUGUUGGGGACAGGAUGUAUCCUCUUCCCUUGGGAGGCAGGUGCAGCUCUGCAUCCCAAACCAGGGCCAAAUUCUUCCUCAGAAGCCUACAUGAGAGGUUACUCUGCUGUAGUUCUCAUUAAGCUUCACUCACUGUGUGCACAGCAGCUGAAUGCUGCUUUCAGUCCAUGUCCUGCCUCCCACCCAGACCAGCCCCAUGCUGGCUAGGGGAUGCAGGAUUGAUACCACGGGGCAGCAGUGGUCAGCACACAACAAGGGAAACACGGCCUGACUCAUCCACUGGAAUAUUGCUCAAGGAAAGGAGUUAUGGCAUAACAAAACUUAUAAAUACCUGAUUUGUUUUGCUUUUUGAAUAAGGGUUACCACCCUUACCAGGUGGCAAUAGCAAAUGCCAUGGAGCUCAUACAGCUUGUCACCAGUAGAGCAAGUCCCACACCCCCCAUGAAUACAAGUUUCAGAGAGCACACUUCCAGCUUGAUCACAAAAAUUUGAUCUUAAAUUAAGCUCCCAACUUAACGGAGGGUAACUGGGGAUGUUAUUCCUAUUUUUAAAAUGUUACAGACGUUGCAAGGAAUGAGGGACAAGGGAUAGGUGUACAGGGCUCAGAUGCCCCAUCAGUGUCAGGGGGCUGCAGGGCUGUUUGAGACAAGGCAAGGACUGCCCCAUGCUGGACACAGACAGUUCGAGCCAACUCCAAUGGCCCCAGCACAGGGCAGGGUUGGGCCCAGCAGCUGCCCUGGGGUGAGGGCAGAAUGGGAGAGUGAGAGCGCAGCUGGGAGGGAAUUUGGGCUGAGCCAAGGUUAACCCACAGCAACAGACCCACAAGUUUUAAGACAGUUCCUAAGUAAAGGUACUUAGAAGAUGUACGUAUAGUCUGAAAGAUGCACAGAAAGAGCAUUAAUCGAAAGACUGACAGAGCAAGGACCAACAAAUGAGUUUAGGGUACUCUACAGAUACAGAGUCCAAUGCAAUAAUGGCUGCACUGCAUUAAUAACUGCAUGAAGCAACCACACAUAUGGAAAGCAAAAAAAUAAGGCAAGUUAGCUAACAAACUUACGAAAAAGCAGAGAGGUGCUUCUGAAGGAGACAAUCCCAUGGAAAGGCCAAGGGUUGUUCCCUUUUAUGGUCAGCUUUCUCUGCAUUUUUGUAAACUGCAUUUGAUUAUAACAGAAGAUAACUGAUGCAGAUUAUACAUUCCUAAUGAAAAUAACAAGGCAUCAAAUACUAGCUACUUGAUUAAGCAAAAGAAUGGUAAAACCAUGUAAUUUUCUUCAACCAUUAUUCUUAUAAUUCUAGCAUCUACCUGAUGCUAGACAUUUUCAGUUAUGGCCUCCAAUGUCAAACUUUCACUUACACUUUCCACAUUUCUCAAUUUUUUUAAAAUAUUUUUAAGGUAUGUUUGCACCAUUUAAAGAAAAAUGUUGAAGAUAUUGAAUUUGUCUCGAAUAAAUAAUCUAAAUUCUCACUUAAAAUUGAUCCCUUUUUGACCUCUGACUUGUCAGAGGAUGAGUAAUAAGCUGACAAAAUGCCUGUGCUUCCCAAGUCAUUUUUUGAUGGUCCCCUGACCAUUCCUAUCCUGCUAUAGAUACCUACCUUGCUUAAAGCCAAACAUCUUGAUCGUAAGUCAAUUAAAAUAACACCAGAGCAAUAAAAAAUAACCUGCAGAAACCAGUGAAGUCAAUUUAAUUGCCAAGUAGAAUUCCUGAGUUGGAAAACAGUACACAGAUUUUGUUAAUAAAUCUGUAAAUAAAGAGAAAAGAAAGGAAAAGCAAGCAACUAGGGUACUGCAUAGACACUUUCCCCUCACCUUUUUAAAUCCUGCCUCAAAUGAAUGAUACAAUUAAAAUGAAUUCUGAAGCAACACAACAUGAAUCUAUCUAUGAAAUUUAAUGUCCUAAAGAUGGUUCAGUCACUUGAACAAGACCACAAUGAGGGAAAAAAAUGUUAAUCUAAUUGUAAAACUUCUGACCAUUAAGUUAUUUACGUUGCAGGUAUUUGAUGCGUCUCUUUGCAAAGCUUUAAACGUGUAAUCUAGGAAAAUGGUUGUUUUUUUUCUUUUCUGUAAAAUGGCUGAGAUACUUGGUGGUAAGACAUUAAAAUGAAUUAUAUGGAAGUUGAUAUGUAGUAACAUUAGAUGCAGUUCAGCUGUUGAAAUUGUAAGCUGUUAAAGAACACUUUUCUCAAGCGAUUGACAUCUAUUUCCAGAACUGUAUCUUUGAGUAAUAUGCACGGGUAGGAAUCAUGCUGAAUUUUCUUCCACGAAGCAGCUCAAGCAAAGAUAUUCAGAUACUCAUUUAUAAAGUGACAGCUAGGAUCUCAGCAGGUUAGAAAGCCACAUGCUACAAAAAAAUUUACUGUAUAGAAACUGACCUAAGGAGGACUCUAAUUCCUGAAAAAUAUAACCAGAAACCACAUUCUACGUUGGCUUGCACUUAAUAUUGAAAGGGAGAAAUAUAGGACAGAGUAUGUAUGCACAGCAUAGUGCAUACAUUGUUUUGUAUGAGUUUAUUGUAUUUCAUUGUUUCCUUUUACAGUGGUCUUCAACAAUGAUCACUUUGGAAUCAGUAUUUAAUUUAUGAAAUACACACAACUCCAUAGAAACGAUGCCACAGAUUUCAAACAGCAUUGGAUCAAACUUGUGAGAUAACUGUAUUUUAACCUUGAACUGACCCCGCUCCUGCUCACUGUAUGAUCUGCUUUGUCUUAACCCUAUCGUCUUUAGUACUUUUGAAAGUUCAUCUGUGUCAACAAGGCAAAAGCAAAACUCUGAGAACAGCUUUAGUUCUUUUUCUUUCCAUGUCUUACUACAAAAAAUAAAAAUAAAAAAAAAAAUAAAUUCCCUGUGCCUGUGCUAUUUCUCUUGUUAUUACAAUUUACUUGAAGAUCAGUGCAUAUCUGCAUAAGACUCUUAAAUUGCUAAACAAACAAACAAAAAUUGAAAAAAACAUAGAAAUAGAAAUCUUCUAUAGUGCUUUUAUCAAAGCAUUUCCACAGAAAUGAUGCAUAUCUAGCUCCUAUGGUUCUUAACAACUUUAGCUCUUUAUAACCUUAGCUCUUUCAGGAUGUGAAAACAGUAGUCAUACUGCAGCAUAUGCUAGAGAGCACCCCAAUCUGUCCUAGGAUGCCAAAAAGGGGGAGAAAAGGAAUCCCCAACUAAGAAAACUUAUACAUUUUACUGAAUGGGAAGCUUAUUGUAGAGUUUUUGCUAAGCCAUUACUAUGGCUCUCUCACUUUGAAAUAGAACAUAAAAGGGUUUCAGCAUCAUGAAAAUCAAAAUACAGCCACCUGUUUUUGACAAUUCUCCCCCACACACAGAAAGUACAUUUAUUCUUUAUAUGCGUAUUUGUUUUGCAUGCUGUGGCAUUCUCUUACCAGACUUCUCAGUUACAGAAACAUGUCAGUUAAAAAUUAUUUUUACUACUCGCAAAUGCAUAUUUCAACUGGUACAUGGAACCAUUAAAAGUUUUGCUACACAGCAGCACCUGCAGAACUAAAUAAUUUUCUGCUCCUACUGUGAAGAGAUACCUCUAUUAUUGUCAGUGUGGUAUGGUAAACAUUGUAAUUCUGAACAUGCCCAUGGUACUGUGUGGCUGAUACUGUUGGAAUGCUCCAUGCCACAGAUCCUAUGUAUCAGCCAUCAGUCACUUCUAAUGUCAAUCUGUUGCUUUCUCCUGGAAAUAACUGAUAUAAUCUCACUGUAGUUUCUAUUAUAAGUCCAAUUUGUCCAUGCUCAUUAUGCAUAUAAACUCCUUUGCAUCAGAAUGAGAAUAUGAUGAAGACAGACAUAUUGAUACAUACUUAUCAAUACAUACACCCAAAUACAUGUUGUCUCUAUAAAAGCAAUAAUACAAAUGUAUUAUAUUCAGCUUUAAACAGAACUUUGGUAAUGUAGUUGUAGAUAUAUUGCAUAUUGCUUUUGGCACUACUAAAAAUAAGUCAUUUGGAUUAACCAUUUUCAAGAAGUACAUUUUAUAACUGGAACAUAUUUAUUCAAGUUCUCUUUUGGAUUAAUGCAAUUUGUCUGAGAGCAUGCACUAAUUUCUGUUCUCAGCAUAGCCUUGGGAGGUUAAAAAUGUUAAAUAUGAUUCUUUGCAGGUUUUAAUAUAUCAUCUUGCCUUAUGAAGAGUUGAUUAUCACCACCCAGUGGUGCUUACAUACUGAUAGAAUUCAUGAUUAUAUGUAUCCAAAGUAGUACCAAGAGUACCAUACAAAAGAACUGACUAUAUUCUAUGUAAGUAGCUACUUAAUUGUAGUCAGUAUCAUAA
Molecule: long non-coding RNA, 32759 nt
Filed under: Gallus gallus (chicken)
Lineage: Eukaryota; Metazoa; Chordata; Aves; Galliformes; Phasianidae
Source: RNAcentral